Molecule: ribosomal RNA, 253 nt
Filed under: uncultured bacterium
Lineage: Bacteria
Description: partial 16S ribosomal RNA
Rfam family: Bacterial small subunit ribosomal RNA
Source: RNAcentral
UACGAAGGGGGCGAGCGUUGUUCGGAAUUACUGGGCGUAAAGGGCGCGCAGGCGGCUCUGAAAGUCAGAUGUGAAAGCCCCGGGCUUAACCUGGGAAUUGCAUUUGAUACUCUGGAGCUUGAGUACGGGAGAGGAGAGUGGAAUUCCCAGUGUGGAGGUGAAAUUCGUAGAUAUUGGGAAGAACACCGGUGGCGAAGGCGGCUCUCUGGACCGUAACUGACGCUGAGGCGCGAAAGCGUGGGGAGCAAACAGG